UACGUAGGGGGCGAGCGUUAAUCGGAAUUACUGGGCGUAAAGCGUGCGCAGGCGGUUAUUUAAGUCAGGUGUGAAAGCCCUGGGCUUAACCUAGGAAUUGCGCUUGAGACUGGAUAGCUUGGAGUGCGGCAGAGGGAGGUGGAAUUCCACGUGUAGCAGUGAAAUGCGUAGAGAUGUGGAGGAACACCGAUGGCGAAGGCAGCCUCCUGGGCCAGCACUGACGCUCAUGCACGAAAGCGUGGGGAGCAAACAGG
Molecule: ribosomal RNA, 254 nt
Filed under: uncultured bacterium
Lineage: Bacteria
Description: partial 16S ribosomal RNA
Rfam family: Bacterial small subunit ribosomal RNA
Source: RNAcentral